AAACUUGAGAGUUUGAUCAUGGCUCAGAACGUACGCUGGCGGCACGCCUAACACAUGCAAGUCGAACGAAGUAGCAAUACUUAGUGGCAGACGGGUGAGUAACAUGUAGGUAUCUGCCCUAUGGCCUGGAAUAACACGAGGAAACUUGUGCUAAUACCGGAUAAGUCUUUACGGAGAAAGCUUUAUGCACCAUUGGAUGAGCCUGCACUUGAUUAGUUUGUUGGUGGGGUAAUGGCCUACCAAGACUGUGAUCAAUAGCUGAUUUGAGAGGAUGAUCAGCCACAUUGGGACUGAGACACGGCCCAAACUCCUACGGGAGGCAGCAGUGGGGAAUCUUGCACAAUGGAGGAAACUCUGAUGCAGCGAUGCCGCGUGAGUGAAGAAGGCCUUUGGGUUGUAAAGCUCUUUCGUCGGGGAAGAAAAUGACUGUACCCGAAUAAGAAGGUCCGGCUAACUUCGUGCCAGCAGCCGCGGUAAUACGAAGGGACCUAGCGUAGUUCGGAAUUACUGGGCUUAAAGAGUUCGUAGGUGGUUGAAAAAGUUGGUGGUGAAAUCCCAGAGCUUAACUCUGGAACUGCCAUCAAAACUUUUCAGCUAGAGUUUGAUAGAGGAAAGCAGAAUUUCUAGUGUAGAGGUGAAAUUCGUAGAUAUUAGAAAGAAUACCAAUUGCGAAGGCAGCUUUCUGGAUCAUUACUGACACUGAGGAACGAAAGCAUGGGUAGCGAAGAGGAUUAGAUACCCUCGUAGUCCAUGCCGUAAACGAUGUGUGUUAGACGUUGGAAAUUUAUUUUCAGUGUCGCAGCAAAAGCGAUAAACACACCGCCUGGGGAGUACGACCGCAAGGUUAAAACUCAAAUGAAUUGACGGGGACCCGCACAAGUAGUGGAGCAUGUGGUUUAAUUCGAAGAUACGCGCAGAACCUUACCAACACUUGACAUGUUCGUCGCGACUCUAAGAGAUUAGAGUUUUCGGUUCGGCCGGACGAAACACAGGUGCUGCAUGGCUGUCGUCAGCUCGUGUCGUGAGAUGUUGGGUUAAGUCCCGCAACGAGCGCAACCCUCACUUUUAGUUGCCAUCAUUAAGUUGGGCACUCUGAAAGAACUGCCAGUGAUAAGCUGGAGGAAGGUGGGGAUGACGUCAAGUCCUCAUGGCCCUUACGUGUUGGGCUACACACGUGCUACAAUGGUAUCUACAACAGGAAGCAAAACGGCGACGUUAAGCAAAUCCCUAAAAGAUACCUCAGUUCGGAUUGCACUCUGCAACUCGAGUGCAUGAAGCUGGAAUUACUAGUAAUCGUGGAUCAGCGUGCCACGGUGAAUGCGUUCCCGGGUCUUGUACACACCGCCCGUCACACCAUGGGAGUUGGUUCUACCUUAAGGCAAGGUUUAAUACCCUUGACCACGGUAUAGUCAGCGACUGGGGUGAAGUCGUAACAAGGUAGCCGUAGGGGAACCUGCGGCUGGAUUACCUCCUUU
Molecule: ribosomal RNA, 1475 nt
Filed under: Candidatus Pelagibacter sp.
Lineage: Bacteria; Pseudomonadati; Pseudomonadota; Alphaproteobacteria; Candidatus Pelagibacterales; Candidatus Pelagibacteraceae
Description: bacterial SSU rRNA
Rfam family: Bacterial small subunit ribosomal RNA
Source: RNAcentral